UCACGCGGGAAAUCUUACCGGGUCCGGACACACUGAGGAUUGACAGAUAUAUACCCCGUGAUUUUAUCGCGGGGAUUGAAAGAUGCUAGUUCUUUCAUGAUUAUGUGAUAGGUGGUGCAUGGCCGUUCUUAGUUCGUGGAGUGAUCUGUCUGCUUAAUUGCGUAUCAAUAAUAGAGACCUAGUAUACGCGUAGACUCAUGCGGUAGUGACCCCCCUUCACAGGGCGCGUGUCGCACGUAUGUUAUACGCACAGGUCUCCGAUAGCAACGAACGUGACCGUACUCUAUUGUUGCAGCGACAAUACCUUUCAACGGGUAUUACCGCUGCUUAGCAAGAUUCGUCUUGCAUUAAACUAUAGAGACCGCUGUUUCUUCUUUAAACCAGAGGAAGGAUACGGCAAUAACAGGUCUGUGAUGCCCUCAGAUGUUCCGGGCUGCACACGUGCUACAAUGAUCAUUGCACUGUGCAUCUAACCCAAUGUGCGCGGACGCCGCCGUGCGUAUAUACUUUAUUGUGUAUGCGUAUCGUGCGUGCGACCGCGCCGAACCUGCUUCGAAAGUAAACAUUUCCAGCGGGUAAUCCAUUAGAAGUAAUGACUCGCAUAGACCAUGGCACACUAUAUGUACCCGCGGGUUCUACCCGGCUCGCCUUUGUGUGAGUGCAGUGCGUANCUCGUUGUUUGGUACGUGCCACUCCGUAUUAAUUCAUACGUGGGGAUAGAUCAUUGUUUAAUUGUUGGUCUCGGUCUUAACUAGGAAUGCCUUGUACGGGUCUUUGGUUCAACAUACCACCCG
This 794-nucleotide ribosomal RNA is filed under the name Ammonia sp. genotype T6. RNAcentral describes it as "SSU rRNA". It matches the Rfam family "Eukaryotic small subunit ribosomal RNA", at positions 1201 to 1642 of the family's 1831-position model. The record is from RNAcentral. Lineage: Eukaryota; Foraminifera; Rotaliida; Rotaliidae.